AGGGUGCUGCUGGUGUACAAGGUGGCGAAGGGGUGCCUGGAAAACCUGGACCUUGGGGAAGCAAAGGGCCCCCAGGACCACAGGGUGCACAGGGGCUCACAGGAAGCCUAGGCUCACAAGGUGCUGAUGGAUUAUCGGGAACAGCAGGAGCAAAAGGAGAUAAGGGUUUUCCUGGCUCACUUGGUGAUGCUGGUCCUCUCGGACAAGUUGGACCACAGGGUCUUCUUGGCCAAAGAGGAGCCGAGGGCCCUCCUGGACAAAAA
Long non-coding RNA from Thalassophryne amazonica, 263 nucleotides. RefSeq lists it as uncharacterized. The transcript has 4 exons. The record is from RefSeq and is a predicted model, not a curated record. NCBI's taxonomy places the organism in Eukaryota, Metazoa, Chordata, Actinopteri, Batrachoidiformes, Batrachoididae.